RNAcentral lists this ribosomal RNA (384 nucleotides) under uncultured bacterium. Its description in RNAcentral is "bacterial SSU rRNA". It matches the Rfam family "Bacterial small subunit ribosomal RNA", at positions 350 to 751 of the family's 1533-position model. The record is from RNAcentral.
AGCAGUGGGGAAUAUUGGACAAUGGGCGCAAGCCUGAUCCAGCCAUGCCGCGUGAGUGAUGAAGGCCUUAGGGUUGUAAAGCUCUUUUGUACGGGAAGAUAAUGACGGUACCGUAAGAAUAAGCCCCGGCUAACUUCGUGCCAGCAGCCGCGGUAAUACGAAGGGGGCUAGCGUUGCUCGGAAUCACUGGGCGUAAAGGGUGCGUAGGCGGGUUUUUAAGUCAGAGGUGAAAUCCUGGAGCUCAACUCCAGAACUGCCUUUGAUACUGAAAGUCUAGAGUAUGGGAGAGGUGAGUGGAACUGCGAGUGUAGAGGUGAAAUUCGUAGAUAUUCGCAAGAACACCAGUGGCGAAGGCGGCUCACUGGCCCAUUACUGACGCUGAGG